RNAcentral lists this transfer RNA (94 nucleotides) under Methanosarcina sp. WWM596. Its description in RNAcentral is "tRNA-Thr (TGT) (tRNA-Thr-TGT-2-1)". It matches the Rfam family "tRNA". Rfam says of the family: Transfer RNA (tRNA) molecules are approximately 80 nucleotides in length. Their secondary structure includes four short double-helical elements and three loops (D, anti-codon, and T loops). Lineage: Archaea; Methanobacteriati; Methanobacteriota; Methanomicrobia; Methanosarcinales; Methanosarcinaceae. The record is from RNAcentral.
GCCUCGUUGGCUCAGCCCGGCAGAGCGAGUGACUUGUAAUCACUAGGUCGCGUGGCCGGCAACGCAGUUGCGCCUGAGAAUCACGCACGAGGCU